UACGGAGGAUGCAAGCGUUAUCCGGAAUGAUUGGGCGUAAAGCGUCCGCAGGUGGCUAUGUAAGUCUGCUGUUAAAGAGUGAGGCUCAACCUCAUAAGAGCAGUGGAAACUACAUGGCUAGAGUGCGUUCGGGGCAGAGGGAAUUCCUGGUGUAGCGGUGAAAUGCGUAGAUAUCAGGAAGAACACCGGUGGCGAAAGCGCUCUGCCAGGCCGCAACUGACACUGAGGGACGAAAGCUAGGGGAGCGAAUGGG
RNAcentral lists this ribosomal RNA (253 nucleotides) under uncultured bacterium. RNAcentral's name for it is "partial 16S ribosomal RNA". It matches the Rfam family "Bacterial small subunit ribosomal RNA", at positions 524 to 776 of the family's 1533-position model. The record is from RNAcentral.